GAUGAACGCUGGCGGCGUGCCUAAUACAUACAAGUCGAGCGAACAGAUGAGGAGCUUGCUCCUCUGACGUUAGCGGCGGACGGGUGAGUAACACGUGGAUAACCUACCUAUAAGACUGGGAUAACUACGGGAAACCGGAGCUAAUACCGGAUAAUAUAUUGAACCGCAUGGUUCAAUAGUGAAAGACGGUUUUGCUGUCACUUAUAGAUGGAUCCGCGCCGCAUUAGCUAGUUGGUAAGGUAACGGCUUACCAAGGCAACGAUGCGUAGCCGACCUGAGAGGGUGAUCGGCCACACUGGAACUGAGACACGGUCCAGACUCCUACGGGAGGCAGCAGUAGGGAAUCUUCCGCAAUGGGCGAAAGCCUGACGGAGCAACGCCGCGUGAGCGAUGAAGGUCUUCGGAUCGUAAAACUCUGUUAUUAGGGAAGAACAAAUGUGUAAGUAACUAUGCACGUCUUGACGGUACCUAAUCAGAAAGCCACGGCUAACUACGUG
This 497-nucleotide ribosomal RNA is filed under the name uncultured bacterium. Its description in RNAcentral is "partial 16S ribosomal RNA". It matches the Rfam family "Bacterial small subunit ribosomal RNA", at positions 28 to 507 of the family's 1533-position model. The record is from RNAcentral.